This is a long non-coding RNA of Aegilops tauschii subsp. strangulata, 596 nucleotides long. RefSeq lists it as uncharacterized. The record is from RefSeq and is a predicted model, not a curated record. NCBI's taxonomy places the organism in Eukaryota, Viridiplantae, Streptophyta, Magnoliopsida, Poales, Poaceae.
AAACUUGAACGUGGCAAUUUUUUCUCAUAGAAUGGCAAAAGUCCAUGGCAAUUUUGAUGUGCAAAAGAACAUUAUUUAUUAAUCACAGAAAAACUGGGCUUUUUUUACUAGGGCUUUAUUUUUCGUUUUCCUUUCAUAGGAAAAAGGCCGGGCCCAGUUGGUGGGGGGAUGCUGGAGGUGUGUAGCGGCAGGGAGCGUCGCUGGCGUGCGAGAUUUGAUGCGCAUGAAGGGCUGCAGCUGGGAGCGGCGACUGCCCCUCCGACCGAGCUGUUCAAUGCCGCAGCGGGGGCCUACCUCGACGACAACGACGAACGGGCCAGUGCCAAGGGCAAGACCGACGUGCAGUACAUCAUCCUCGACAGGGUGCAGCCAUCAGCAGCAUCGUCAGGAGGGGCAUGCUGGAUGAGCUCAAGAAGACCCUGGUCAGGAGGAGCAUCCAGGUAAGAACAGAGCAACACAAAUUGUCAUGUUUCCAAGGGAAAUAGAGCAUGCUUUGUGAUAUGAACAAUGGCUGAUUCAUCGUUUUGUAAACCUAAACUUUUCCAGCAAACUUGCGAGAAAUUUAUAUUCAGAUGGCACAUGGAAAUUUAUAUUCA